Molecule: non-coding RNA, 98 nt
Filed under: Bacillus mycoides
Lineage: Bacteria; Bacillati; Bacillota; Bacilli; Caryophanales; Bacillaceae
Also listed under: 2 other names
Description: pan
Rfam family: pan motif
Source: RNAcentral
UGGGCAGUAUCAAAGCGAACUGCACCAUUAUUUUACGCAGUAUGAAAAAAUAAUAAUUUGGAUUCUGCCUUGAUCCAAUAAUGGACUGGGACAGAGGG